UGGCUGUAGUGGGCCCUGGAAGCCUCUGUAACCCUUCCAAAAUUCUCCUUUGUCUUUUGUGGAGAAGAUGGCCAGAAUGGCCAAAGAUUUACUUACUACCCUUGUGAGGCUAUUUAUCUGAACCAGUGGUGAUUUGCAUUAAAAGGAGCUAGUAGAAAUUCCCCUAAGAGGGCACUCUCUAAAUUAUCUCCCUUCCAUCUUUUUAUAAUUUCUAUCCCCUCAGACUUUACCCAUCAACCAACACUGUGCCACCAUGUGAGGUUGUGACAGCUGGGUGACAGGUCACCGUAGAGAAGUGAAUGCUGAUUGGGAUGCAGGUGUUAUGCUGGCAGAGAUGGAGACAUCACCAAACAACAAAGACAUCCAAGAGCUCUCUUUUAUUGAUAGAAGACUUCAACAGAAAGUCCUUUCUCCUGACAUAAACAAGCUUUGAUGAGAUAAAUUAUUCACAACUAUUCCAGGAAAACAUUUUCUUCAAAAAUUGUUGUUAUGCUGUAAAUUCUGGGAUAUAUGUGCAGAACAUGCAGGUUUGUUACAUAGGUAUACAUGUGCCAUGGUGAUUUGCUGCAUCCAUCAACCCAUCAUCUAGGUUUUAAGUCUCGCAUGCAUUAGGUGUUUGUCCUAAUGCUAUCUCUUCCCUUCCGCGCCCCCCUCCCCACCCCGGAACAGGCCCUGUUCUGGGGAAACUGUUGUCUUAAAUGGCAAGUAUGAAAAAAUGGCAUUUUUUUCUAGAACAUCAUGUGUUAAAUAGAAAAUAUAAGCAGUUUCUUGCAUUUGGAGUGCAGUAAAAACAAUAUGAGAAGGACUACUAUGGGAAUGUGGAUAGGUACAAGUUUUCUGAAGGGCAAUAUGAAAAAACAUUUGAGGGAUCUUAAAAAUAUGCUUAUCUACAAAUUCUCCUUGUAGAAAUAAGUGCAAAGGUACUAAAUAUUUAUUGAUAAUGAUUGCAUUGUAAUUAAUGUAACCCAAGUCCUCCAAAUGAGAAUUAGGUAAAUACUGAGUAAAAUCAUUUAAAACUGCUGAU
This 1024-nucleotide long non-coding RNA is filed under the name Macaca mulatta (Rhesus monkey). RNAcentral describes it as "lncRNA (ENSMMUG00000052604.1)". Lineage: Eukaryota; Metazoa; Chordata; Mammalia; Primates; Cercopithecidae. The record is from RNAcentral.